RNAcentral lists this ribosomal RNA (464 nucleotides) under uncultured bacterium. RNAcentral's name for it is "partial 16S ribosomal RNA". It matches the Rfam family "Bacterial small subunit ribosomal RNA", at positions 338 to 795 of the family's 1533-position model. The record is from RNAcentral.
CCUAGGGGGGCAGCAGUGGGGAAUAUUGGACAAUGGGGGAAACCCUGAUCCAGCCAUGCCGCGUGUGUGAAGAAGGCCCGAGGGUUGUAAAGCACUUUCAGUUGGGAAGAAGGGUAGUUAGCUAAUACCUAGCUAUCUUGACAUUACCUUCAGAAGAAGCACCGGCUAACUCUGUGCCAGCAGCCGCGGUAAUACAGAGGGUGCAAGCGUUAUUCGGAAUUACUGGGCGUAAAGCGCGCGUAGGCGGAUUGUUAAGUCAGUUGUGAAAGCCCUGGGCUCAACCUAGGAAUUGCAUCUGAUACUGGCAGUCUAGAGUUUAAGAGAGGGAAGGGGAAUUCCAGGUGUAGCAGUGAAAUGCGUAGAUAUUUGGAGGAACAUCAGUGGCGAAGGCGCCUUCCUGGCUUAAAACUGACGCUGAGGUGCGAAAGCGUGGGUAGCGAACGGGAUUAGAUACCCGAGUAGUC